Molecule: ribosomal RNA, 429 nt
Filed under: Gemmatimonadota bacterium
Lineage: Bacteria; Pseudomonadati; Gemmatimonadota
Description: Gemmatimonadetes bacterium partial 16S ribosomal RNA
Rfam family: Bacterial small subunit ribosomal RNA
Source: RNAcentral
UAGGGAAUCUUCGGCAAUGGACGAAAGUCUGACCGAGCAACGCCGCGUGAGUGAAGAAGGUUUUCGGAUCGUAAAACUCUGUUGUUAGAGAAGAACAAGGACGUUAGUAACUGAACGUCCCCUGACGGUAUCUAACCAGAAAGCCACGGCUAACUACGUGCCAGCAGCCGCGGUAAUACGUAGGUGGCAAGCGUUGUCCGGAUUUAUUGGGCGUAAAGCGAGCGCAGGCGGUUUCUUAAGUCUGAUGUGAAAGCCCCCGGCUCAACCGGGGAGGGUCAUUUGAAACUGGGGGACUUGAGUGCAGGAGAGGGGAGGGGAAUUCCAUGUGUAGCGGUGAAAUGCGUAGAUAUAUGGAGGAACACCAGUGGCGAAGGCGGCUCUCUUGUCUGGAACUGACGCUGAGGCUCGAAAGCGUGGGGAGCAAACAGG